UCAUCCUGCGGGCAGGGGCAGUGAAGGUCCCAGAGGCCACCAGGGGCUCCUCCCCCUUCCCCGGCCUUGGGUUCAGGCUGUGUGGUCAUGGAGGGUCAGAGGAGAGGUGGAGCAGCAGCUAGCCUCUGCAGGGCACCAUUCCUAACAGGCAGGAGGCCCGCGCACAAGCCAAGAGAGACCCAGGGCAGAGCCAGGCCCAUCGCUGCGCUGGGCAGAGCAGGGACGGGCGCUCACCUCUGGGGGCGGCGGCCCGAGCUCGGCGUCAGUCUGGCCAUCAUCGUUGUCUUCGGGCGGCUCCGGGCUGGUGGGUGGCGGCUGUUGCCACACGAUGGCCUCCUGGGCAUGCUGCUUGCGGUACAGGUCGGUUCGCUGGGUCAGGCUCACCCGCCUCACCACCUUCCUGGGGAGAAGGGAGGAGGAGGGUGAGGGGAGGGAGAGCGCCGGGAGAACCCUGCCUGCCCCCUUGGACUCUGCCCCCUUGGACUCUGCCCCUAGUUCGGCUGGCACGCCACCAGGGGGGGCUGACGUCUUCGAGGACAGGCCUGGGGCGGGGCCUGCUGGGGGCGGCUCACCCGCGGCUGCCUGCGCUGGAGGUGCGGCGGCGCAGCAAGGGGCGCUGGCGGCCCUGGGCGCGCAGGAGGGCGUCAUGCUUGUGCUUCAACUCCAGCAGCUUGGCCCGCACCUCCUCGUCCCCGCACACAUCUGAGAAGUGGGCGCAGGCGUCAGGGCGCUCUCCCCGCCUGUCCUCUCCCCCGGGUGGAGAAGGGCCCCAAAAGCUCACCAAGGGGUGUCUCGUCCAUCAGGGACUUCGCGUUCAGGUCGGCCCCGUGCGCCACGAGCAGCUCCACCAGGGGCACCUGUGGGCGGCCGGCGGGAGCUGGAGAAGGCUGUGCUUCCGGGAAGCCCCUUCCCACCUGCUCCCGCCUGCACUCACCUGGCCCCAGUAGGCCGCGGCGUGCAGCGGCUCCCAGCCGUCUUGGUCCUUAGCGCUCAGGCUGGCUCGGUGCUCCAGCAGCAGGGCAGCCGCCUCGCUGAACCCGUUGGCUGCUGCGAUGUGCAGCUGCAGGCGAGCGCCCGGCCUGAAUUCAGCCCACGCCCCCACUCCAAGCAGCAAGGCCCCCGGCCCCCGCGCCCGUCACCCCCCAGCCCUCACCAGUGUGGCCCCGUGGUCCAGGGGGGCAUGGAGGUCUGCCCCGGCCUGCAGCCGGCUCCGGAUGUCGUCCAGCAUGCGUAGUUCCGGCACGGCGCGGGCGGCCUCGAUGCUGUCCUGGGUGAUGCCUGCGAGGCGGCAGGCUCAGAGCGAGCGCGCCCGGGAGCCCUCCCACAGCCACAGCGCCGCACCUACCGCGGUCGGCCAUGGCGGUCUCCAGGCAGUCCAGCGUCUGCUCGUCGUCACACAGGUCGUAAGGCAUGUUCCCAUCGGUGUUGACUGCCAGGAGAUCGGCACCACUGCAAGGAAGAUGCACGGGGUGCUGGGCACCGGGCCUUCCCCACACGCCGGGCUCUUCACUGGAACCCCUCAGGAGGCACGGGGUAGCUGUGGAGGAGGUACCGGGUCCACCUGCUGCUGGGAGAGGUGCCCUUGGAGCCCAUCGGCUGCCCCUCAGUCCUAGACAGGCCUCCUGCAGUCCGUACCCAUCAGGCCUCCAGGGACAGCAGUGCCCAAACGGGCACUAUGUGCCUGCCUGUUGGGGGAGCAGGGACCCUAGGGAGCACAGAGUGGUGGGGGCACAGGACCAGGCAGCCACACUGAGAGGGCUACAGAGCUGCAGGAAACAUGACCUAGGGAAGGAGGGUGGCAACGGGUGCUCAGGACACGGACAGCGUGCCCAUGUGCAGUGGAGGAACAGGCCUGUCUCUGCACACCCUACAUCCCCGCCUGCCCCACAGGGGCAGCCCCUGACCUCUCUCCCACCACAGAAACCUGGAGUGAAGGGGAAGGAAGCAAGGAGGCUUGUGGACCCUGGGUGAGGCCACCACCCCACUGCUCUGCCUCCUUCUGUGUUAAAGGUAAAGGCCCUAGCUGUGCCCAUGUACCCUCUCCUCACAAGCCACCUGGCUUCUUCACUCCCUUUCCCUCCUUACCAGUUCAGUCCUCCUCAUUGACCAAAGCAUUUCUCUGCACACCCUGUGGGGGCCCAAGGCCUGCCCUCUCUGCAGGACGACGCAUGCUGGGUGGGCAACGCUGCCCUGGGCACAUGCUCAUUUCCCUGGGGCCCCAGGCCUUGCUCUCCAUGCAGGACACAGGCAGGGUCAGCAAACGUGAAGGCGGGAACACAGGAGGCCGAGAGCCAGGAAUACUGCCCAAGAGGAGCCCCCGAGCUGCCAUCUGAGAGGAAGCCCCUCCCUGCCACAGGCGCCCAGCCGGCCCUACCUGGAGAUGAGUAGCUCCACCAGGUGCAGGUGGCCACAGGUGGCCGCAGCAUGCAGAGGCGUCCAGCACUCGCUGUCGCAGGCAUUGACGCUGGCCCCUGACUCCAGGAGCUGCUGCACCAUCUCCCGGGAGUCAUCGAUGCAGCACUGCAAACCAUGCAGCGUGAGCGGCCAGAGUGUGGGGGCCCCCCCUGCCCCACCCACCCCCAGUGCAGGCUGACCUGGUGCAGGGCCGUCAGGCCGUCCUCGUUGGCCAGGUCAGGACUGACCCCGCUCCCAAGGAACUGGCGGACUGCAAAAUGGUGGCGAGGUGAGGACAGGGGGUCCUGUCCCUGCUCAGGCCUGGGCCUAGAGUACCGUAGUCAACUGUGCUUCAGCCAGGACUUGGGAAAGGACAAGGAAGACAGUGGUGCCCACGGCAGGAGGCACACUAGAUCCCAGGAGGGGCAAGCAGGAGCACCAGGCAUCUGUCUGCCCCAGGCCAGCGGCACUCCCAGAAGCCCCCUGCCUCCAACCACCUGCAGGCCUUUUGUGGACGUGCUCCAGCCUCCCAACCCCCAGAACAGGCCCUCCUCCAGUGUGAGAGGAGGCCUCCAACAAUCCCACACUCCCUUCCACCUGAGAAGAGCUCCCUGCCCCGAGGCUGCCACAGCCAGGCAGUGCCUUGGGCUGGGGAGGCAUCAUUCACAGGAAUCGGUAGCUCCCUCGGCAUUUCCCCAACAACCAGCCCAGCCUUGUGUUCACCAUGUCCCCCAAUCCUCCAGGACCUGACCGGAGGCUCCCCACCACCAGAGCACAUGCCUGCCCUUGCUCCCCUCCCCUUCCGAGAUCCCAGCUCAGGCCCAGGCUCUCGCUCAGGUCACUAGUGUCCUCCCUGACGGUGCCUGGGGUGCUGUAGGACGGCUCCACGCCUUCCCACAGCUCCCAGUGGCACCACGGCACCCUCUGCCUCUUCCCUCUGCCUCCCGGAAGGGCUCCUGUCCACAUAGGAAGAUGCAGGCCAGGAGCUGCCAGCUACUCCUCACCCUCUGCCCUGGAAGGAGGCAGGAAGGCAUCUCAAGGGCCACCACAGUGCCUCUUGCUCCCAGACCCCAAGCACCAGAAGUGGAACCCACACAGCUGGGGCUGCGAGAAGCAUGGGACACAGGUCAUUUCGGGCAGCAGCCUCCAGAAAGACAACACUGGGGGGAAAGAGGACCUGCUUCCGGGGCCCUCGGCCAGCUGCCUCCUUCCGGGGGCGCUCCCCAGGGCCCUUCUUGCCCUGGGCCUCCUUCUCAGCCUGGGCCCACAUCUUCACCUGCUGGGCACGGCGCUUCUGGGCGUGCUUCAGCCGCUCCUGCGUGCUCAUCCUGCCCACCAUGGGCAUCUCUGCCAGCAGCUCCAGCUGCACACCUGGGAAGUGGGGAACAAGGAAGCACAUUAUCAAGGCCGGCUCGGGGCAGAGCGGCCCCAGGGGAGCACCUGUCCUGGGCCUCAGGUGAGACCAGGCUUCCGGCCGUCUCAGGCACUGCCCUGUGUGAGGCCCACCCUCUGUCCGCAGAGAGCACUGCAGGGCAACAAUCCUGGGGAUACCAGGAGCUGCUCUGCCCCAUCCUGCCCCACACCCAGAGGGCUCCUCCCACCCACCCUUUCCAGAAAGGGCUGCCCAUCCCAGCGAGGCAGUCACUGCUAGGCUGCUCCUCCAGGGCCAGACACUGCCCUCAGGCUGGGCAGGGUGAGUCUCCUGGGACAACCAUGACGGUCCUGCAGGCUACUGCCUUCAAGUGCAGGCCCUGCCUCCCAGGCCUCAGCCUGUCCUGACCAACACCCCAGCCUCUCACCGCCCAGCGUCUAGACCUCUUCCUUGCUGGGGUCCUGCAAUGCCUCAGCCGUCCUGGGCUGCAAUAAAAGCCCCCACCGGGUGCCUGGCUUAUGCCUAUGGGGACAGGCAUGCAGGCAGCUUUGGCUGGGACACGACCCUGCCUGUGCAUCCGCUAUGGCCCUAGUCCUGCCCAAUACACCGAGUGUGGUUGCCGGGCUGGCCAUGGGCCACACCUCAGAAAGUGCUCCGUCUUCUGCAGGAUGCCUGCCAGGAGUCCCGUUCUCCACCCAGCCAGGCCUCAUUACCAUUCACACACUGACCCAACUCCAUGGCUGGACCUGCAGCCAGGGGUUUCAGAGACUGCCCCCUUCUUUCAGGAAGGGAACUGUCCUGGGCCAGGUCAGAUUAAGCCAGUCAGGUCCUUCCCGCUCAAGGGCCCCCAAUUUAUCUGGGAGCCCCACUUUACAGGUUUAGCCCACUCUAGAUAUAGUCCCCCCUCCGCAAGCCUGGCUUCAGAGGCUUCCUAAGGGCAUGGCCAAUAAGGCCAGUAGCCACAGCCUGGCUUGCUGUCUGCCAGGUAAAGCACUUUUCCAAGCAGUGACUCUCCCUCCGAGCAACCUGCUCCCAAUCCUGGGCAGAUCUGUAGACUGCAGAGGCCAGGGCACAUACACACUGGCCAGACACCCUGCCCAGGCUCCCAGGUCCUCCCCUUGCCCUCUAGAGACACAGCAUGGGUACCAGAGAGGCUGGAGAGCCAGUCCUGCAGGCAUCCUGCCAGCUCCCAUCCAUAAGGACUGGAGGCAGACCACAUCUGGCAUGGAGCCAUCCCUCCCUGCCAGCCACCCACAGCUCACACCCUCUUCCCAACAGGGCUGGCAAAGUGAGAUCCUCACCUCUCUGUCAUUGGCAUCUCUGGACUUGCCAAGAACCCACCUGGGCAAUAGCUACUCAUCCCCACCCCAACCCAAAGAGAUCACAAGCCAAGAGCAAAGGAGGCUGCCCUUGCCCGGCCCCCCAUCUCUCUCCAGCCAUAGGAAGGAAAGAUUAAGAAGAUUUAACAGUCAGGGAACAGUGGCUCAGGCCACUACUUUGGGAGGUCAAGGUAGUAAGAU
Molecule: non-coding RNA, 5286 nt
Organism: Saimiri boliviensis boliviensis (Bolivian squirrel monkey)
Lineage: Eukaryota; Metazoa; Chordata; Mammalia; Primates; Cebidae
Source: RefSeq, a predicted model, not a curated record